AGAGUUUGAUCCUGGCUCAGAACGUACGCUGGCGGCACGCCUAACACAUGCAAGUCGAGCGAGGUAGCAAUACCUAGCGGCAGACGGGUGCGUAACAUGUGGGAAUCUGCCUUUUGGUUCGGAACAACACGGGGAAACCUGUGCUAAUACCGGAUAAGUCCUUACGGAGAAAGUUUUAAUGCCAAAAGAUGAGCCCGCAUUUGAUUAGCUAGUUGGUGAGGUAAAAGCUCACCAAGGCGAUAAUCAAUAGCUGAUUUGAGAGGAUGAUCAGCCACACUGGGACUGAGAUACGGCCCAGACUCCUACGGGAGGCAGCAGUGGGGAAUCUUGCACAAUGGGCGAAAGCCUGAUGCAGCGAUGCCGCGUGAGUGAAGAAGGCCUUUGGGUUGUAAAGCUCUUUUGUCGGGAAAGAUAAUGACUGUACCCGAAGAAUAAGGUCCGGCUAACUUCGUGCCAGCAGCCGCGGUAAUACGAAGGGACCUAGCGUAGUUCGGAAUUACUGGGCGUAAAGAGUAUGUAGGCGGCUAGAUAAGUUAAUUGUGAAAGCCCAAAGCUUAACUUUGGAAUUGCAAUUAAAACUAUUUAGCUGGAGUAUGAUAGAGGAAAGCGGAAUACAUAGUGUAGAGGUGAAAUUCGUAGAUAUUAUGUAGAACACCAGUUGCGAAGGCGGCUUUCUGGAUCAUUACUGACGCUGAGAUACGAAAGUAUGGGUAGCGAAGAGGAUUAGAUACCCUCGUAGUCCAUACCAUAAACGAUGAUUAUUAGAUGUGGGGAAUUAUUUCUCUGUAUCAUAGCUAACGCGUUAAAUAAUCCGCCUGGGGAGUACGACCGCA
RNAcentral lists this ribosomal RNA (833 nucleotides) under uncultured bacterium. RNAcentral describes it as "bacterial SSU rRNA". It matches the Rfam family "Bacterial small subunit ribosomal RNA", at positions 8 to 890 of the family's 1533-position model. The record is from RNAcentral.